AGACGCCGACGAUGGGGUCAUGGCGCCCCGAACCCUCCUCCUGCUGCUCUCGGGGACCCUGGCCCUGGCCGAGACCUGGGCGGGCUCCCACUCCAUGAGGUAUUUCAGCACCGCGGUUUCCUGGCCGGGCCGCGGGGAGCCCAGCUUCAUUGCCGUGGGCUACGUGGACGACACGCAGGUCGUGCGGGUCGACAGUGACGCCGUGAGUCUGAGGAUGAAGACGCGGGCGCGGUGGGUGGAGCAGGAGGGGCCGGAGUAUUGGGACCUACAGACACUGGGCGCCAAGGCCCAGGCACAGACUGACCGAGUGAACCUGCGGACCCUGCUCCGCUACUACAACCAGAGCGAGGCGGACCCCCCCAAGACACACGUGACCCACCACCCUGUCUCUGAACAUGAGGCAUAACGAGGUGCUGGGUUCUGGGCUUCUACCCUGCGGAGAUCACAUUGACCUGGCAGCGGGAUGGGGAGGACCAGACCCAGGACAUGGAGCUCGUGGAGACCAGGCCCACAGGGGAUGGAACCUUCCAGAAGUGGGCGGUUGUGGUAGUGCCUUCUGGAGAGGAACAGAGAUACACAUGCCAUGUGCAGCACAAGGGGCUGCCCAAGCCCCUCAUCCUGAGAUGGGAGCCCUCUCCCCAGCCCACCAUCCCCAUUGUGGGUAUCAUUGCUGGCCUGGUUCUCCUUGGAGCUGUGGUCACUGCUGUGAUGUGGAGGAAGAAGAGCUCAGUCACACAUUUCUGGAAACUUCUCGAGGGUCCAAGACUAGGAGCUUCCUCUAGGACCUCAUGGCCCUGCUACCUUCCUGGCCUCUCACAGGACGUUUUCUUCCCGCAGAUAGAAAAGGAGGGAGCUACUCUCAGGCUGCAAUGUGAGACAGCUGCCUUGUGUGGGACUGAGAGGCAAGAUUUGUUCAUGCCUUCCCUUUGUGACUUCAAGAACCCUGACUUCUCUUUCUGCAAAGGCAUCUGAAUGUGUCUGUGUCCCUAUAGGCAUAAUGUGAGGUGGUGGGGAGACCAGCCCACACCCGUGUCCACCAUGACCCUGUUCCCCACACUGACCUACAUUCCUUCCCCGAUCACCUUUCCUGUUCCAGAGAAGUGGUGCUGGGAUGUCUCCAUCUCUGUCUCAACUUCAUGGUGCACUGAGCUGUAACUUCUUACUUCCCUAUUAAAAUUAGAAUCUGAGUAUAAAUUUACUUUUUUCAAAUUAUUUCCAUGACGGGUUGAUGGGUUAAUUAAAGGAGAAGAUUCCUAAAAUUUGAGAGACAAAAUAAAUGGAAGACAUGAGAA
Molecule: unclassified non-coding RNA, 1292 nt
Filed under: Homo sapiens (human)
Lineage: Eukaryota; Metazoa; Chordata; Mammalia; Primates; Hominidae
Description: novel transcript (ENSG00000290325.1)
Source: RNAcentral